GAGUUUGAUCGUGGCUCAGAUUGAACGCUGGCGGCAUGCCUAACACAUGCAAGUCGAACGGCAGCACUGGGAGCUUGCUCCCUGGUGGCGAGUGGCGGACGGGUGAGUAACGCGUAGGAAUCUGCCUCAUAGCGGGGGACAACUCGGGGAAACUCGAGCUAAUACCGCAUACUACUCGAGAGAGGAAAGCAGGGGACCUUCGGGCCUUGCACUAUGAGAUGAGCCUGCGUUGGA
RNAcentral lists this ribosomal RNA (234 nucleotides) under uncultured microorganism. RNAcentral describes it as "partial 16S ribosomal RNA". It matches the Rfam family "Bacterial small subunit ribosomal RNA", at positions 9 to 240 of the family's 1533-position model. The record is from RNAcentral.